Molecule: ribosomal RNA, 867 nt
Filed under: uncultured rumen bacterium
Lineage: Bacteria
Description: bacterial SSU rRNA
Rfam family: Bacterial small subunit ribosomal RNA
Source: RNAcentral
AGAGUUUGAUCCUGGCUCAGGACGAACGCUGGCGGCGUGCCUAACACAUGCAAGUCGAACGAAGCUCCUGAUCUGAUCCUUCGGGUGAAGAGAGGGAAGACUUAGUGGCGGACGGGUGAGUAACGCGUGAGCAACCUGCCUUUCAGAGGGGGAUAACAGUUGGAAACGACUGCUAAUACCGCAUAACAUAAUUUUGUCGCAUGGCAAGAUUAUCAAAGCUGAGGCGCUGAGAGAUGGGCUCGCGUCCGAUUAGAUAGUUGGUGGGGUAACGGCCUACCAAGUCGACGAUCGGUAGCCGGACUGAGAGGUUGAACGGCCACAUUGGGACUGAGACACGGCCCAGACUCCUACGGGAGGCAGCAGUGGGGGAUAUUGCACAAUGGGCGAAAGCCUGAUGCAGCAACGCCGCGUGAGGGAAGACGGUUUUCGGAUUGUAAACCUCUGUCUUUGGUGAAGAAGGAAGUGACGGUAGCCAAGGAGGAAGCCACGGCUAACUACGUGCCAGCAGCCGCGGUAAUACGUAGGUGGCAAGCGUUGUCCGGAAUUACUGGGUGUAAAGGGAGCGCAGGCGGGACGGCAAGUUGGAUGUGAAAUACCGCAGCUCAACUGCGGAGCUGCAUCCAAAACUGUCGUUCUUGAGUGGAGUAGAGGUAGGCGGAAUUCCGAGUGUAGCGGUGAAAUGCGUAGAUAUUCGGAGGAACACCAGUGGCGAAGGCGGCCUACUGGGCUCUUACUGACGCUGAGGCUCGAAAGUGUGGGGAGCAAACAGGAUUAGAUACCCUGGUAGUCCACACUGUAAACGAUGAUUGCUAGGUGUGGGGGGUCUGACCCCUUCCGUGCCGGAGUUAACGCAAUAAGCAAUCCACC